Molecule: ribosomal RNA, 447 nt
Filed under: uncultured bacterium
Lineage: Bacteria
Description: bacterial SSU rRNA
Rfam family: Bacterial small subunit ribosomal RNA
Source: RNAcentral
UGGGGAAUUUUGGGCAAUGGGCGAAAGCCUGACCCAGCAACGCCGCGUGAAGGAUGAAGUAUUUCGGUAUGUAAACUUCGUAAGAAUAGGAAGAAUAAAUGACGGUACUAUUUGUAAGGUCCGGCUAACUACGUGCCAGCAGCCGCGGUAAUACGAAGGGGGCUAGCGUUGUUCGGAAUUACUGGGCGUAAAGCGCACGUAGGCGGGUUUGUAAGUAGAGGGUGAAAUCCCAGGGCUCAACCCUGGAACUGCCUUCUAGACUGCAAGCCUGGAGGUCAGGAGAGGCGAGUGGAAUACCGAGUGUAGAGGUGAAAUUCGUAGAUAUUCGGUGGAACACCAGUGGCGAAGGCGACUCGCUGGACUGAUACUGACGCUGAGGUGCGAAAGCGUGGGGAGCAAACAGGAUUAGAUACCCGGGUAGUCCCUGAGCGGGCUGGCAAGGCGCAU